Molecule: non-coding RNA, 959 nt
Organism: Chlorocebus sabaeus (green monkey)
Lineage: Eukaryota; Metazoa; Chordata; Mammalia; Primates; Cercopithecidae
Source: RefSeq, a predicted model, not a curated record
AAAGGCAACAUACAGUAUAGGAGAAAAUAUUUACAAAUCAUAUAUCUGAUAAGGGGUUUAUGUGCAGAAUGUAUAAAGAAUACCAAAAUGGCGGUGUUCGGGUAUGAGGCGGGGGCUAAGCUGAGGGAUUCAGGUGUGGUGCGGGUGGGAAUUGAGGAAGCGCCCAAGGAUGUCAAGAUGACAGCAUCUAUGCAUGGUCAACCUAGUCCUUCUCUAGAAGAUGCAAAACUCAGAAGACCAGUGAUCAUAUAAAUCAUAGAAAAAAAUUUUGAGUACCUUAGAAAAGAAAUGACACCAAAUAUAUAUCAAACGGCAUCAUUUGGGACAACAACUGGUUUCUCUGGAAUAUUCUCAAACUUCCUGUUCAGACGCUGCUUCAAGAUAAUAUAAGCAAGGAAAACUGUGUUUUCAGAAGCUCACUGAUUGGCAUAGUUUGUGGUGGUUUCUACCCCAGUUCUUUGGCGUUUACUAAAAAUGGACAUCUGGCAACCAAGUAUCAUACCGUUCCACUGCCACCAAAAGGAAGGGUUUUACUCCAUUGGAUGAUGCUUUGUCAAACGCAAAUGAAAUUAAUGGCGAUUCCUCUAGUCUUUCAGAUCAUGUUUGGAAUAUUAAAUGGUCUACACCAUUAUGUAGUAUUUGAACGGACACUUGGGAAAACUAUACAUGAAGAGGAACCAAAAAAAUGAAUGGUUGCUAACUUAGCAGAAUGAAGUUUUUAUAAAGAGGACUCAGGCAUUGCUGAAAGAGUUAAAAGUAACUGUGAACAGAUAAUUUGUUUCUCUGCCUUUUGCCUGGUAUAUAGCAAAUACUCAAAAAAUAUUCAAUAAUUCAAUCAAUAAACAUAAGUUUCAUCUUACAUAUAAGAUAUAGGUUUUAUCUCCUGAUAGUGUGUCCAUUUUGCUUGGUACAUAACAGAUAAUAAAUAUUCAGUAUCAAUAAAUGUAAUAAUAAUUUAA